Long non-coding RNA from Oncorhynchus gorbuscha (pink salmon), 1423 nucleotides. RefSeq lists it as uncharacterized. Lineage: Eukaryota; Metazoa; Chordata; Actinopteri; Salmoniformes; Salmonidae. The record is from RefSeq and is a predicted model, not a curated record. The transcript is spliced from 2 exons.
ACGUGCGUGUUGCCUGCGAAAGGCAACGUGCACACCGUACAGCCUCAGCGGAGGACAUAUUAGGAAAAACCUACCUCACUGGUCUUGACAUUUUGCAGAAAUACUGUAGAGGUUAAGAAUGUAAGAAAGGGGAAAGGAAAUCUAGAAAAAUAAAAACAAAAUCGUCCCGCUCUGCAACUCCAACGUGCGCAACGAGACCUUCCAACUCCAACGCCCCGGCUACAGCGUAAAACUAAAUCUAAGACAACGAUUUGUCUUCCAAACGCGAUUUUAGUUUAUUUUUUUACCUUCAGCUACUCAAAAUGGUGAAUAAAACAAACUGAAACUGCAGCCUAUGCGCAACCUAACGGAGUGGCCCUUGGCAUAAAAGACCGCCCAUCGUCGCCGCUGAGAGGAGAGCAUCAACACUCCAAAGCUUCCAUUGGGCAGUUUGAAUGAUAAUUUACUUUUUGGUUGGAUGUUUAAGUUGCUCAUCAAACCCAGUGGUUCAACCCAUUUACCCUCCCCCUUUCAAAGAUAGGUUGAGAAUGCACUGCUAAGAAAACAAAAAGAGGCCCUCGGUGUGGAUGCAAGUUGCCCGAAUUUGUGUUCGAAAUGACCACAAUGUAACUUUCUAUUGGGAAAUAUGCGCGGCCUGCCAUCAUGUAGUUAGUUACAUGAGUGUCUAUAGAAGGCUAUGCAUUUGUAAUUAUUUUAUUUUCCACUGAGGAGGGCUUGGGGUGCUGACACUGUAUCCCCAGGCACUAAAUAGUAAGCUUAAUUGCACAGAAGACAGUCAGCAAAGUGAGGAGCUGGAAUUAUUGUGGAUCUCCAAGGACGUGAAUCCGUUAAUCGCUUGAAGGCCUCCAUUACCUGCAUUUAGCCUCCGCUACACAGCCACAGAGUACUAGAAAUGAUAAUGUAAUUCAUUUCAAUAGAGAACAAUUAGAAUAAAGAGAACUCCACGGAGGAUGCACAAGUAGAAUGGACUGUUUUCUGGGAAAAGGGGAUUUUAAAUAGCCGAUGUCCAUCACUAACAACCCAAUGGGCACACCACGUAAUUUCAAUGUGGAGAAUUGGGUAAUAUUUGGUAGAUCGGUUGAUUAAUGAGAUUUCAACUUAUUUUUACCCACUUAAAAAAACUGCCUAAGGUUUGUUGAAUUCCCAAUGUGUUAUCGCUAUGCUUUGAACCAGCUAACAGCACACACAAAUUGGAAUGGAAAAUAUAUGUCGGAUUUUUGGUUUAGUUGUCAGCAAAAUGUGUUAACACUGUGCUUUCAACCAUUUAAAAGCACACCAAAGUUCAAAUGGGAGUAUAAUGUCAGAUAUUUUAAUUUAUACAACAAUUUAAGGUGUUGUCACUGUGCCUCAAAUUAUAGCUCAACCAAAUGGCCUGGAUUGCAAUUGAGAUUAUUAAAGUACAUGGUGAAAGUUCUCAAUGCCA